This 403-nucleotide ribosomal RNA is filed under the name bacterium. RNAcentral's name for it is "partial 16S ribosomal RNA". It matches the Rfam family "Bacterial small subunit ribosomal RNA", at positions 355 to 776 of the family's 1533-position model. The record is from RNAcentral.
UGGGGAAUAUUGCACAAUGGAGGGAACUCUGAUGCAGCGACGCCGCGUGAACGAAGAAGGCUUUCGAGUCGUAAAGUUCUUUUAUAUGGGAAGAUAAUGACGGUACCAUAAGAAGAAGCCCCGGCUAACUACGUGCCAGCAGCCGCGGUAAUACGUAGGGGGCUAGCGUUGUCCGGAAUCACUGGGCGUAAAGGGUUCGCAGGCGGAAAUGCAAGUCAGGUGUAAAAGGCAGUAGCUUAACUACUGUAAGCAUUUGAAACUGCAUAUCUUGAGAAGAGUAGAGGUAAGUGGAAUUUUUAGUGUAGCGGUGAAAUGCGUAGAUAUUAAAAAGAAUACCGGUGGCGGAGGUGACUUACUGGGCUCAUUCUGACGCUGAGGAACGAAAGCGUGGGUAGCAAACAGG